Molecule: ribosomal RNA, 440 nt
Filed under: uncultured bacterium
Lineage: Bacteria
Description: partial 16S ribosomal RNA
Rfam family: Bacterial small subunit ribosomal RNA
Source: RNAcentral
CCUACGGGAGGCAGCAGUGGGGAAUAUUGCACAAUGGGGGGAACCCUGAUGCAGCAACGCCGCGUGGGUGAAGAAGUACUCCGGUAUGUAAAGCCCUGUCAGCAGGGAAGAAAAUGACGGUACCUGACCAAGAAGCCCCGGCUAACUACGUGCCAGCAGCCGCGGUAAUACGUAGGGGGCAAGCGUUAUCCGGAUUUACUGGGUGUAAAGGGAGCGUAGACGGCAAGGCAAGUCUGGAGUGAAAGCCCGGGGCCCAACCACGGGACUGCUUUGGAAACUGUGUGGCUGGAGUGCAGGAGAGGUAAGCGGAAUUCCUAGUGUAGCGGUGAAAUGCGUAGAUAUUAGGAGGAACACCGGUGGCGAAGGCGGCUUACUGGACUGUAACUGACGUUGAGGCUCGAAGGCGUGGGGAGCAAACAGGAUUAGAUACCCGAGUAGUC